This 497-nucleotide ribosomal RNA is filed under the name uncultured Glomeromycotina. Its description in RNAcentral is "partial small subunit ribosomal RNA". It matches the Rfam family "Eukaryotic small subunit ribosomal RNA", at positions 591 to 1092 of the family's 1831-position model. The record is from RNAcentral. Lineage: Eukaryota; Fungi; Glomeromycota.
CCAAUAGCGUAUAUUAAAGUUGUUGCAGUUAAAAAGCUCGUAGUUGAAUUUCAGGCCUGGCUGGACGGUCCGCCUUUUGGGUGAGUACUGUCUGUGGUCGGGUCCUACCUUCUGGCGAAGCGUCAUGGCCUUAACCGGCCGUGGCGGGGAACCAGGACUUUUACUGUGAAAAAAUUAGAGUGUUCAAAGCAUGCAGUCGCUUGAAUAACUUAGCAUGGUAUAAUGGAAUAGGACAAUGGUUCUAUUUGUUGGUUUCUAGGACCGUUGUAAUGAUUAAUAGGGAUAGUUGGGGGCAUUAGUAUUCAAUUGUCAGAGGUGAAAUUCUUGGAUUUAUUGAAGACUAACUACUGCGAAAGCAUUUGCCAAGGAUGUUUUCAUUAAUCAAGAACGAAAGUUAGGGGAUCGAAGACGAUCAGAUACCGUCGUAGUCUUAACCAUAAACUAUGCCGACUAGGAAUCGGGCGAUGUUGACAAAAUGACGCGCUCGGCACCUCAUG